GCCAAACAGCUAGCUUAAUUAUCAACAUAACUUAACAAUAUUAAUAACAAUACAAAACUUAACCCUACAAACUAAACCAUUUUUUUACCUAAGUAUGGGAGACAGAAAAGGUUCACCUAAAGCAAUAGAGAAAAUACCGCAAGGAAAGCUGAAAGAGAAAUGAAACAACCCAUAUAAGCACUGAAAAACAAAGACUAAACCUUGUACCUUUUGCAUCAUGAUUUAGCCAGUACCCUCAAGCAAAGAGAUCUUUAGUUUGACACCCCGAAACCAGGUGAGCUACCCCGAGGCAGCCUAUAUAAUUUAGGGCUAACCCGUCUCUGUGGCAAAAGAGUGGGAAGAACUCCGGGUAGCGGCGACAAACCUACCGAACCUGGUGAUAGCUGGUUGCCCAAGAAAUGAAUAAAAGUUCAGCUUCAUAUGCCCUUAACCAAAACAUAUUACCAAGGUACUAUGGAAACGUAUGAAAGUUAGUUAAAGGGGGUACAGCCCCUUUAACAAAGGAUACAACCUUAACAGGAGGAUAAAGAUCAUAAUCAAUAAGAUAUAUUGUUUUAGUGGGCCUGAAGGCAGCCACCUAAACAGAAAGCGUUAAAGCUCAGACAAAAAAGAAUCUACUAUUCCGAUAAAAAAUCUUACUCCCCUAACCAUAUUGGGCCAACCCAUGCUCACAUGGGAGAGACCAUGCUAAAAUGAGUAACAAGAAGACUUGAUCUUCUCCCGCCACAAGUGUAAGUCAGAU
Molecule: ribosomal RNA, 742 nt
Filed under: Pteronotropis harperi (redeye chub)
Lineage: Eukaryota; Metazoa; Chordata; Actinopteri; Cypriniformes; Leuciscidae
Description: partial 16S ribosomal RNA
Rfam family: Bacterial large subunit ribosomal RNA (bases 186-742)
Source: RNAcentral